CCCGCUGAACUUAAGCAUAUCAAUAAGCGGAGGAAAAGAAACUAACAAGGAUUCCCCUAGUAACUGCGAGUGAAGAGGGAAGAGCUCAAAUUUAAAAUCUGUCAGUCUUUGGCUGGCCGAGUUGUAAAUUAGAGAAGUGCUAUCUGCGCUGGCCUGUGCAAAAGUCUCUUGGAAAAGGGCAUCAUAGAGGGUGACAAUCCCGUCUUUGGUACAGAGCUUCCAGGGCUUCAUGAUGUGCUCUCGAUGAGUCGAGUUGUUUGGGAAUGCAGCUCUAAAUGGGUGGUAAAUUCCAUCUAAAGCUAGAUAUUGGCGAGAAACCGAUAGCGCACAAGUACCGUGAGGGAAAGAUGAAAAGAACUUUGAAAAGAGAGUUAAACAGUACGUGAAAUUGUUGAAAGGGAAACGCUUGAAGUCAGUCGCGUCCUUCAGAAAUCAACCUGACCUUGGUCUGGCUUACUUUCUGGUGGAUGGGUCAGCAUCAAUUUUGAUCAUUGGAUAAAGGCCUUGGGAAAGUGGCAUCUCCAGAUGUGUUAUAGCCUUUGGUUCAUAUACAGUGGUUGGGAUUGAGGAACUCAGUGUGAACUUGGGGCUUUGGCCUACAACACGCACUUAGGAUGCUGGCAUAAUGGCUUUAAUCGACCCGUCUUGAAACACGG
This 656-nucleotide ribosomal RNA is filed under the name uncultured fungus. RNAcentral describes it as "eukaryotic LSU rRNA". It matches the Rfam family "Eukaryotic large subunit ribosomal RNA", at positions 24 to 664 of the family's 3401-position model. The record is from RNAcentral. Lineage: Eukaryota; Fungi.